RNAcentral lists this ribosomal RNA (432 nucleotides) under uncultured bacterium. Its description in RNAcentral is "partial 16S ribosomal RNA". It matches the Rfam family "Bacterial small subunit ribosomal RNA", at positions 338 to 795 of the family's 1533-position model. The record is from RNAcentral.
CCUACGGGAGGCAGCAGUAGGGAAUAUUGGACAAUGGGCGAGAGCCUGAUCCAGCCAUGCCGCGUGCAGGAAGAAGGCCUUUGGGUCGUAAACUGCUUUUCUCUGGGGAUAGGUACCAGAGGAAUAAGCCACGGCUAACUACGUGCCAGCAGCCGCGGUAAUACGUAGGUGGCAAGCGUUGUCCGGAUUUAUUGGGUUUAAAGGGUGCGUAGGCGGCCCUGUAAGUCAGUGGUGAAAUACGGCAGCUCAACUGUCGAGGUGCCAUUGAUACUGCGGGGCUUGAGUACUGAUGAGGUAGGCGGAAUUGACGGUGUAGCGGUGAAAUGCUUAGAUAUCGUCAAGAACACCGAUAGCGAAGGCAGCUUACUAAGCAGUACUGACGCUGAGGCACGAAAGUGCGGGGAUCAAACAGGAUUAGAUACCCUUGUAGUC